This 741-nucleotide ribosomal RNA is filed under the name uncultured archaeon. RNAcentral's name for it is "bacterial SSU rRNA". It matches the Rfam family "Archaeal small subunit ribosomal RNA", at positions 118 to 859 of the family's 1478-position model. The record is from RNAcentral.
GGACCGGGAUAACCUUGGGAAACUGAGGAUAAUACUGGAUAGGCAAUUAUUCCUGGAAUGGUUUUUUGUUUAAAUGUUUUUUCGCCUAAGGAUGGGUCUGCGGCCGAUUAGGUAGUUGGUUAGGUGACGGCUUACCAAGCCAUUGAUCGGUACGGGUUGUGAGAGCAAGAGCCCGGAGAUGGAACCUGAGACAAGGUUCCAGGCCCUACGGGGUGCAGCAGGCGCGAAACCUCCGCAAUGUGAGAAAUCGCGACGGGGGGAUCCCAAGUGCCAUUCUUAACGGGAUGGCUCUUCAUUAGUGUAAAGAGCUUUUGGAAUAAGGGCUGGGCAAGACCGGUGCCAGCCGCCGCGGUAACACCGGCAGCUCUAGUGGUAGCAGUUUUUAUUGGGCCUAAAGCGUCCGUAGCCGGUUUAAUAAGUCUCUGGUGAAAUCCUGUAGCUUAACUGUGGGAAUUGCUGGAGAUACUAUUAGACUUGAGACCGGGAGAGGUUAGAGGUACUCCCAGGGUAGAGGUGAAAUUCUGUAAUCCUGGGAGGACCGCCUGUUGCGAAGGCGUCUAACUGGAACGGUUCUGACGGUGAGGGACGAAAGUUAGGGGCGCGAACCGGAUUAGAUACCCGGGUAGUCCUAACCGUAAACGAUGCGGACUUGGUGUUGGGGUGGCUUUGAGCUGCUCCAGUGCCGAAGGGAAGCUGUUAAGUCCGCCGCCUGGGAAGUACGGUCGCAAGACUGAAACUUAA